This 1013-nucleotide ribosomal RNA is filed under the name Virgibacillus halodenitrificans. RNAcentral describes it as "bacterial SSU rRNA". It matches the Rfam family "Bacterial small subunit ribosomal RNA", at positions 38 to 1017 of the family's 1533-position model. The record is from RNAcentral. Lineage: Bacteria; Bacillati; Bacillota; Bacilli; Caryophanales; Bacillaceae.
GGCAGGGCGCUGCUAUAAUGCAGUCGAGCGCGGGAAGCAAGCUGAUCCUCUUCGGAGGUGACGCUUGUGGAACGAGCGGCGGACGGGUGAGUAACACGUGGGCAACCUGCCUGUAAGACUGGGAUAACCCCGGGAAACCGGGGCUAAUACCGGAUAAUACUUUUCAUCACCUGAUGGAAAGUUGAAAGGUGGCUUCUUGCUACCACUUACAGAUGGGCCCGCGGCGCAUUAGCUAGUUGGUGAGGUAACGGCUCACCAAGGCAACGAUGCGUAGCCGACCUGAGAGGGUGAUCGGCCACACUGGGACUGAGACACGGCCCAGACUCCUACGGGAGGCAGCAGUAGGGAAUCUUCCGCAAUGGACGAAAGUCUGACGGAGCAACGCCGCGUGAGUGAUGAAGGUUUUCGGAUCGUAAAGCUCUGUUGUUAGGGAAGAACAAGUGCCGUUCGAAUAGGGCGGCACCUUGACGGUACCUAACCAGAAAGCCCCGGCUAACUACGUGCCAGCAGCCGCGGUAAUACGUAGGGGGCAAGCGUUGUCCGGAAUUAUUGGGCGUAAAGCGCGCGCAGGCGGUCCUUUAAGUCUGAUGUGAAAGCCCACGGCUUAACCGUGGAGGGUCAUUGGAAACUGGAGGACUUGAGUACAGAAGAGGAGAGUGGAAUUCCACGUGUAGCGGUGAAAUGCGUAGAGAUGUGGAGGAACACCAGUGGCGAAGGCGACUCUCUGGUCUGUAACUGACGCUGAGGCGCGAAAGCGUGGGGAGCGAACAGGAUUAGAUACCCUGGUAGUCCACGCCGUAAACGAUGAGUGCUAGGUGUUAGGGGUUUCCGCCCCUUAGUGCUGAAGUUAACGCAUUAAGCACUCCGCCUGGGGAGUACGGCCGCAAGGCUGAACUCAAAAGAAUUGACGGGGGCCCGCACAAGCGGUGGAGCAUGUGUUUAAUUCGACGCAACGCGGAAGAACCUUACCAGGUCUUGACAUCCUCUGCAAUCGGUAGAAGAUACCGAGUUCC